AUCAACGGCAGGGGCCAGGGCCGGAUCUUCAUCCUCUGUGCUGAAGUAGCGCUCGAUCAGGUCAAAAGCCUUCUGGUAGAUCUCCUGGUUCUCAUGACCCUGUAGAAACUCCAGUUUGUCUAACCCUGAUGGAAAGGAAUAGGAAAAGUCUUACAGCAGCAGCUCCACUAGUCUGCGGCAGACUCCUGAGUCAAUAACAGCCUGGAUCUUCUCAUUGGGACCAUCAGACAGAUAAGAAAGAGCCCAGCAUGCAUCAGCCAAAAUGUCGGUAUCAUUCACAAAGAGCAGCCAGGACAGAACGCUGAGACACGGCGACACCUGCAUUAAAAAACAAAUACAACUCAGAUAAAGGUAUCCACUGUCCGACAUCCCAUCAUCCUCCAGUGUUCCGUCCUCCUGCACUGUGGCCACAUUUCUGCGCUUGAACAGCUGUAAGAACACAAACUCUCAGCUCACUGUGCUCAAUAAAAAUACCAACAUGCGCCACAUAUCAGUA
Carassius gibelio (silver crucian carp) is the source of this 496-nucleotide long non-coding RNA. RefSeq lists it as uncharacterized. The transcript is spliced from 3 exons. The record is from RefSeq and is a predicted model, not a curated record. NCBI's taxonomy places the organism in Eukaryota, Metazoa, Chordata, Actinopteri, Cypriniformes, Cyprinidae.